Mesocricetus auratus (golden hamster) is the source of this 755-nucleotide long non-coding RNA. RefSeq lists it as uncharacterized. Lineage: Eukaryota; Metazoa; Chordata; Mammalia; Rodentia; Cricetidae. The transcript is spliced from 2 exons. The record is from RefSeq and is a predicted model, not a curated record.
CUCUAAAACCACAUUCUGUCAUCACUCCUGGGGCCCCUUUUGGAGAAGGCCCUGGGGGACUGAGUCAGGGAGGGACUAGGAGACUCCAUUUCCCCCUUAGGGGUAAAGAGAAGAAGGGAAGCAGGCCCGGAGAUGAGAAUCCGGUCUCUUGAUUGAUUAGGCACACUUUAGGCAGCGCCUACCUUGGAAGAAGCUUCUUCCACUCAUAAGACGUUUAUUGAGUUCCUUCUGCAUGCAUGAGCUAGCGAUGUAAGCACAUCUUCUAUCCUCCGUGCUACAGAUAAAUGUGUCUAGAAUGGUUCUGCAUUAAAAACAGUCACCAUAUGGGUAUGUUCUGGUUACUACUGUGCAAAGAGCUUUACCUGGUCUAUGACAGACAUAAUUUUCUUAUCAUUCAUUCAUUCAAUCUCUAUGUUUUGAACUUCUAGACGCUAGUUACUGAAGAUACAUAAAUGAGGAGGAUGCAUCUAAUCCCUGCCUAACGGCCCCAAAGGGUUUACAGUCCCGCAGGUCCUCUAGGGAGAUAGAGGUGGAGGAUCACAACUUCAAAGCCAGCAGAGACCUCUCCAGAAAAACCAUGUCAUGAGCACACAGAGGGAGGAGAAUCAAGGAUCUGGAGUUCAAGGUCUACAUACAUAAGAUUCCAGCUCAAAAUAAAACCAAACCCCAAACAAAGAAGCCACAGCAUAUUGUAAAUGCUAGCUAUACAUAACUUUCAUAAAUCCCAAAUAAAUUUUAAUUUUUAUUACACCGUA